GACGAACGCUGGCGGCGUGCUUAACACAUGCAAGUCGAACGGAAAGGCCCCGCUUUUGUGGGGUGCUCGAGUGGCGAACGGGUGAGUAACACGUGAGUAACCUGCCCUUGACUUUGGGAUAACUUCAGGAAACUGGGGUUAAUACCGGAUAGGAGCUCCUGCUGCAUGGUGGGGGUUGGAAAGUUUCGGCGGUUGGGGAUGGACUCGCGGCUUAUCAGCUUGUUGGUGGGGUAGUGGCUUACCAAGGCUUUGACGGGUAGCCGGCCUGAGAGGGUGACCGGCCACAUUGGGACUGAGAUACGGCCCAGACUCCUACGGGAGGCAGCAGUGGGGAAUAUUGCACAAUGGGCGGAAGCCUGAUGCAGCAACGCCGCGUGCGGGAUGACGGCCUUCGGGUUGUAAACCGCUUUCGCCUGUGACGAAGCGUGAGUGACGGUAAUGGGUAAAGAAGCACCGGCUAACUACGUG
Molecule: ribosomal RNA, 468 nt
Filed under: uncultured bacterium
Lineage: Bacteria
Description: partial 16S ribosomal RNA
Rfam family: Bacterial small subunit ribosomal RNA
Source: RNAcentral